UCCGGAAAAUCAAGGCUGAGGCGUGAUGACGAGGCACUACGGUGCUGAAGCAACAAAUGCCCUGCUUCCAGGAAAAGCCUCUAAGCAUCAGGUAACAUCAAAUCGUACCCCAAACCGACACAGGUGGUCAGGUAGAGAAUACCAAGGCGCUUGAGAGAACUCGGGUGAAGGAACUAGGCAAAAUGGUGCCGUAACUUCGGGAGAAGGCACGCUGAUAUGUAGGUGAAGUCCCUCGCGGAUGGAGCUGAAAUCAGUCGAAGAUACCAGCUGGCUGCAACUGUUUAUUAAAAACACAGCACUGUGCAAACACGAAAGUGGACGUAUACGGUGUGACGCCUGCCCGGUGCCGGAAGGUUAAUUGAUGGGGUUAGCGCAAGCGAAGCUCUUGAUCGAAGCCCCGGUAAACGGCGGCCGUAACUAUAACGGUCCUAAGGUAGCGAAAUUCCUUGUCGGGUAAGUUCCGACCUGCACGAAUGGCGUAAUGAUGGCCAGGCUGUCUCCACCCGAGACUCAGUGAAAUUGAACUCGCUGUGAAGAUGCAGUGUACCCGCGGCAAGACGGAAAGACCCCGUGAACCUUUACUAUAGCUUGACACUGAACAUUGAGCCUUGAUGUGUAGGAUAGGUGGGAGGCUUUGAAGUGUGGACGCCAGUCUGCAUGGAGCCGACCUUGAAAUACCACCCUUUAAUGUUUGAUGUUCUAACGUUGACCCGUAAUCCGGGUUGCGGACAGUGUCUGGUGGGUAGUUUGACUGGGGCGGUCUCCUCCUAAAGAGUAACGGAGGAGCACGAAGGUUGGCUAAUCCUGGUCGGACAUCAGGAGGUUAGUGCAAUGGCAUAAGCCAGCUUGACUGCGAGCGUGACGGCGCGAGCAGGUGCGAAAGCAGGUCAUAGUGAUCCGGUGGUUCUGAAUGGAAGGGCCAUCGCUCAACGGAUAAAAGGUACUCCGGGGAUAACAGGCUGAUACCGCCCAAGAGUUCAUAUCGACGGCGGUGUUUGGCACCUCGAUGUCGGCUCAUCACAUCCUGGGGCUGAAGUAGGUCCCAAGGGUAUGGCUGUUCGCCAUUUAAAGUGGUACGCGAGCUGGGUUUAGAACGUCGUGAGACAGUUCGGUCCCUAUCUGCCGUGGGCGCUGGAGAACUGAGGGGGGCUGCUCCUAGUACGAGAGGACCGGAGUGGACGCAUCACUGGUGUUCGGGUUGUCAUGCCAAUGGCACUGCCCGGUAGCUAAAUGCGGAAGAGAUAAGUGCUGAAAGC
RNAcentral lists this ribosomal RNA (1256 nucleotides) under Escherichia coli. RNAcentral's name for it is "partial 23S ribosomal RNA". It matches the Rfam family "Bacterial large subunit ribosomal RNA", at positions 1541 to 2778 of the family's 2925-position model. Lineage: Bacteria; Pseudomonadati; Pseudomonadota; Gammaproteobacteria; Enterobacterales; Enterobacteriaceae. The record is from RNAcentral.